ACAUAUUUUAAUUUUUAAUCAUUUUAUUAAAUUAAAUAAAAUUACAUUUAAAUCCACCUUCAAUUAAAUAUUACAAAAUAAAAUUCAUUUAAAUAAAUUUAUUGUAAUCCAUUAUAUUCUUAAUUAUAAUCUGCAUCUUGAUCUGAUUUAAUUUUUCAUAUUAAUUUUUAAACAUUAAUUUUAUUAAAAAAUAUUUUUAUAACAACGAUAUACAAAAUUAUAAAAUAAGUAAAU
This 234-nucleotide ribosomal RNA is filed under the name Sesamia nonagrioides (Mediterranean corn borer). RNAcentral's name for it is "partial 12S ribosomal RNA". Lineage: Eukaryota; Metazoa; Arthropoda; Insecta; Lepidoptera; Noctuidae. The record is from RNAcentral.